ACGAACGCUGGCGGCGUGCUUCACACAUGCAAGUCGAACGGAAAGGCCCUGCUUUUGUGGGGUGCUCGAGUGGCGAACGGGUGAGUAACACGUGAGUAACCUGCCCUUGACUUUGGGAUAACUUCAGGAAACUGGGGCUAAUACCGGAUAGGAGCUCCUGCUGCAUGGUGGGGGUUGGAAAGUUUCGGCGGUUGGGGAUGGACUCGCGGCUUAUCAGCUUGUUGGUGGGGUAGUGGCUUACCAAGGCUUUGACGGGUAGCCGGCCUGAGAGGGUGACCGGCCACAUUGGGACUGAGAUACGGCCCAGACUCCUACGGGAGGCAGCAGUGGGGAAUAUUGCACAAUGGGCGGAAGCCUGAUGCAGCAACGCCGCGUGUGGGAUGACGGCCUUCGGGUUGUAAACCGCUUUCGCCUGUGACGAAGCGUGAGUGACGGUAAUGGGUAAAGAAGCACCGGCUAACUACGUG
This 467-nucleotide ribosomal RNA is filed under the name uncultured bacterium. RNAcentral describes it as "partial 16S ribosomal RNA". It matches the Rfam family "Bacterial small subunit ribosomal RNA", at positions 29 to 507 of the family's 1533-position model. The record is from RNAcentral.